Molecule: ribosomal RNA, 359 nt
Filed under: uncultured bacterium
Lineage: Bacteria
Description: partial 16S ribosomal RNA
Rfam family: Bacterial small subunit ribosomal RNA
Source: RNAcentral
CCUACGGGUGGCAGCAGUGAGGAAUAUUGGUCAAUGGGCGGAAGCCUGAACCAGCCAAGUAGCGUGCGGGAUGAAGGCCCUACGGGUCGUAAACCUCUUUUGCCCAGGGAUAACACCCUCCACUUGAGGCGGUCUGCAGGUACCGUACGAAUAAGGGCCGGCUAAUUCCGUGCCAGCAGCCGCGGUAAUACGGAAGGCCCGAGCGUUAUCCGGAUUCAUUGGGCUUAAAGGGAGCGUAGGCGGGCGGUCAAGUCAGCUGUAAAAUCCCGCGGCUCAACCGCGCCCCGCAGUUGAAACUGGACGACUUGAGGUGACAACAGGCAGGCGGAAUUCGUGGUGUAGCGGUGAAAUGCAUAGAU